AUUGAACGCUGGCGGCAUGCCUUACACAUGCAAGUCGAACGGUAACAGGUCUUCGGAUGCUGACGAGUGGCGAACGGGUGAGUAAUACAUUGGAGCGUGCCCGAUCGUGGGGGAUAACGAAGCGAAAGCUUUGCUAAUACCGCAUACGAUCUACGGAUGAAAGCGGGGGAUCUUCGGACCUCGCGCGGACGGAGCGGCCGAUGGCAGAUUAGGUAGUUGGUGGGAUAAAAGCUUACCAAGCCGACGAUCUGUAGCUGGUCUGAGAGGAUGAUCAGCCACACUGGGACUGAGACACGGCCCAGACUCCUACGGGAGGCAGCAGUGGGGAAUUUUGGACAAUGGGCGCAAGCCUGAUCCAGCCAUGCCGCGUGCAGGAUGAAGGCCUUCGGGUUGUAAACUGCUUUUGUACGGAACGAAAAGGUGCCUUCUAAUAAAGGGCGCUCAUGACGGUACCGUAAGAAUAAGCACCGGCUAACUACGUG
Molecule: ribosomal RNA, 482 nt
Filed under: uncultured bacterium
Lineage: Bacteria
Description: partial 16S ribosomal RNA
Rfam family: Bacterial small subunit ribosomal RNA
Source: RNAcentral